GAGACACCCCCCCUAUGGAGCAGGACUAGCUUCAGUGGGGCUUUGGUGCUCACUGAAUCUGUCCCUUGAGUGUGUCGCU
This is a non-coding RNA of Myotis brandtii (Brandt's bat), 79 nucleotides long. The record is from Rfam. Lineage: Eukaryota; Metazoa; Chordata; Mammalia; Chiroptera; Vespertilionidae.